GCCUAAAAUUAAGCCUAACCAAGCCCCAUGAAACUCACAACCAACCCUUUCCUUAAUAAAACAUUUUAUCAGUCUAGUAGAGGCGAUCAAAAAACUCAUUAGCGCUUUAUCACAAGUACCGCAAGGGAAAAAUGAAAUAGUUCUGAAACAGCCCCAAAGCAAAACACAGCAGAGAUAAACACUCGUACCUUUUGCAUCAUGGUUUAGCUAGUCCCCUACAAGCAAAACGAAACAUCAGUUUGUCCCCCCGAAACUAGGCGAGCUACUUCGAAACAGCUUACAGAGCUAACCCGUCCCUGUUGCAAAAGAGUGGGAUGAUUUCCAAGUAGCGGUGAAAAGCCUACCGAGCCUAGAGAUAGCUGGUUAUUCAGAAAAAGAAUUUUAGUUCAGCCCCAAGUCCAUUUAUUACCAUAACAAAUUCCCUAGACUUAAGAGCUAGUCAAAUAAGGCACAGCUUAUUUGACAAAGGAUACAACCUACAAAAAAGGGUAAAACACCAUAUAUUAACUAAGUGGGCCUGAAAGCAGCCACCUUCGAGAUAGCGUUACAGCUCUUUUAUUCUUUACAACAAAUACCUAAAAACACUCCGAACCCUUUAUCAUUACUGAAUGAUCCUAUAUCUUUAUAGGAGCCCCAAUGCUAAAACUAGUAACAAGAAAUAGAAUUUCUCCAAAUACAAGUAUAAGCCAAAAUGGACCAACCAUUGGCAAUUAACGUUACUGAACCCAAUAUAGCAACCCACCAAGAAAAUACUAUAACUCCUAUCGUUAAUCUCACACAAGGGUAUUUCUGGAAAGAUUUAAAGAAAGGGAAGGAACUCGGCAAACUUUAACCCCGCCUGUUUACCAAAAACAUCGCCUCUUGAUCAGCUAUAAGAGGUCUAGCCUGCCCAGUGACAUAGUUUAACGGCCGCGGUACCCUGACCGUGCGAAGGUAGCAUAAUCACUUGUUCUUUAAAUAAGGACUCGUAUCAACGGCAUCACGAGGGUUACACUGUCUCCCCUCUCUAAUCAGUGAAACUGACUUCCCCGUGAAGAGGCGGGGAUACAACUACAAGACGAGAAGACCCCAUGGAGCUUUAAACCCAAUAACAGCUUCUAUCAACCACACCUUAAAAAUUAAGAGACAUUGUUUAUUGGUUUUAGGUUGGGGUGACCAUGGAGUAAAACUAAACCUCCAAGAUGAACGGUCUUAACCUAAUCUAAGAGCCACUGCUCUAAGAAUCAAAAAUUUGACAUAAAAUGAUCCGGCAACCGAUCAACGAACCAAGUUACCCUGGGGAUAACAGCGCAAUCCAUUUCAAGAGCCCCUAUCGACAAAUGGGUUUACGACCUCGAUGUUGGAUCAGGGUAUCCCAGUGGUGCA
Molecule: ribosomal RNA, 1365 nt
Filed under: Limnonectes kuhlii (Kuhl's wart frog)
Lineage: Eukaryota; Metazoa; Chordata; Amphibia; Anura; Dicroglossidae
Description: partial 16S rRNA
Rfam family: Bacterial large subunit ribosomal RNA
Source: RNAcentral